Molecule: ribosomal RNA, 250 nt
Filed under: uncultured prokaryote
Description: partial 16S ribosomal RNA
Rfam family: Bacterial small subunit ribosomal RNA
Source: RNAcentral
UACGUAGGGAGCGAGCGUUGUCCGGAAUUACUGGGCGUAAAGGGCGUGUAGGCGGGGAUUUAAGUAGGGUGUGAAAACUCCGGGCUCAACUUGGAGACUGCACCCUAAACUGGAUCUCUUGAGGGCAGGAGAGGAAAGUGGAAUUCCUAGUGUAGCGGUGAAAUGCGUAGAUAUUAGGAGGAACACCAGUGGCGAAGGCGACUUUCUGGACUGUACCUGACGCUGAGGCGCGAAAGCGUGGGGAGCAAAC